Non-coding RNA from Pantherophis guttatus, 3255 nucleotides. NCBI's taxonomy places the organism in Eukaryota, Metazoa, Chordata, Lepidosauria, Squamata, Colubridae. The record is from RefSeq and is a predicted model, not a curated record.
AUCAAUCACUUUCAAGAUAUUGGCAGCAGCUAUGAGAGCUGCCUGUACUUUAGCCCUGAGCGGCGGACCAAUCCGGCGGAACCAAAUUACACUUCUACAUUGCGAUUAGCUAAACUCGAGCUCCAAUUGCAGCGCUCUGGGUGGGGCCUUUAAAAUACUUUACUGUAAAAGCAUCGUUGCGAUUUUUCGACUGUGAAGGAAUGGGCGCGCAGUAGGUCUUUUUUGGCUUGUGGAGUAGGCGAGCAAGGAGAUAGAGCGAGUUAGGAUCUUGAAAUGUGAAGCUGAAAAAACAUUUUUUUUUUUGAAAUUCUGCUCAAAAGAAGAAUGAUAAGGAAGCACUUUCCUUUGCAUGCCGGGCAGAUCUUGAACUAACAAAGAUUGCAAGAUAUAAUUGAAGAUUGUAUCUCAAGAACUUGCUUAAUAUUUAAGUAUGCACCUUUAGAUCUUAUCUUUUUUAAUUUUGAAAGUUCAAUAACACAGAAGAGGGAAAUUAUAGUAAGAUAUAUUCUACUAUGUAUUUGAAAUAAUUUCUCUCAAGUGGAUGCUAUGCUUAGAAUUUAGUUAUCUAUCUUGUAGGGGAUAUAUUAAUGAAACUAUUGACUUAUACAAUACAGCAUUGUUGUAUACAGUAUGGAUCAAACUAAAAAUUGCUCUGAUAUACCCUUGCCAGGUGUCCACUAUUUGAGCGGACAGUCCACUUUUUUCACAUUAUGUUCACUAUUUUUUUUUCACAAAAUAGUGGACAUUUUUUUAUUCAAAAGCUUUAUGAUGAAAUGGUACAUAAUCUAAAGCUGUACAGUCUAAGAGAAUAAGGAUAGGAGAAUCGCGUUUUGUCUUUUUUUUCAUAAGUUAGAAUGAGACAAAGAUCGAAUAUCCAUUGAACUCGAUUCUCCGAAAAACUUAAUGAUGAGAUUAAAAUAAAAAUAUAUUAUAAAAUUAUGUACAGUUCACAUUUUUAAAAUGUAUUGUAGCUUGUGUUGACUGACCUAAAAUGGCGUCGAGUGAUGAGAGUGAAAGCGGCGAGAUUUCGAAUUCUUUAAAACGAAAGAGAGGAGUGUGCAAAUACACCAAAGACUGGGAAGCUACUUUUCUCUACUCUUUCAGUGAGAAAGUGACUGUAGCUGAAAUGGCUGAAAUUUACCAUGGGAUCAAACACCAUAUUUCUUUCCUGGCUCAAGAUUGCAAUAUUAAGUUAAUGAAGCAAAUUUUUGAUGAUUCAGAAAUUGUAAAAAAGAUGUAUUGUGGAAGAACCAAAUCAUCAGCUAUUAUCAAUGAGGUUUUGUAUCCUUUUUCUAUUGAGUUGGUUCUCAAUGAUCUUAAAACUGGAAUUCCAUUUUCUUUCUCCACUGAUGCAUCAAACAAGGGAAAUCCCAAAUGUAUCCCGUUGUUGCACAAUAUUUUACUUGUGAAGGACUGUGUGUGAAAAUUUUAGACUUUUAUGAGGAUUCUUUCAAAGAUUCUACAUCAAUAAAAAAUCAGCUGUGUCGAGUUCUUAAUGAUAACGAAUUGGAAAUAAUGUUUCAUCUUACUCAACAGAUAAUGCAUCGGUCAAUUAUGGAGUGAACAAAUCUGUUUACCAAAAAUUAUUGCUGGAAAAUGACAAUAUUGUAGCUGCUCAUUCAAUAAUCACAUUUUACACAACAGUGCAAAAAAUGCAUUAAAGCAGUUAUCUUUUGAUACUGAAAAUGUAGUGCUGAAGGUUUUUGCCUAAUUUUCGAAUUCUGCGAAGAAACAAGAGUUGAAAUCAUUUUUUGAGUUUUGCGAGUCAGAAUUCCAUGAAGUUUUGCGCCAUAUUCCAACAUGUUGGUUAAGUUUGUUUAAAGCGGUCAAAAGACUUCUUUUAAACUGGAUACCUCUAAAAUCGUAUUUUAUUUCUCUUGGAUCUGAUGAGUGCCAUAAGGUUAUCUGGAACCUUAUUUCGGAUCAGGAAAAUGAACUCGCAAAGGAUGAUGAACCAACAAUUUCAGAAUUGUAUUUAUAUUUCACGCACUUCUUCAUGUCAAUAAUGCAAGACACCCUACUGAAGCUGAAAAGCAAGAAAAUUCUUGCAUGUGAUCUUCACAUUAUCAUGUGUAAGCUGCGUGAUUGAUUGCAAAAAAAAUACGAUGAGCAGUUUUUUGGAAUGAAAGUUUUAUUUGCCUUACGUGAAAAACAUUUGCCUAAGAAUGCCGUGCAAAAGUUCAAGAAAGAAGCCAUCAACGUGUAUCAAAGAGCCAUUGCGUACCUAGAAAAGUGGUAUAAUUUCACCGAUUCAGUAUAUGAGACGCUAAGUUGUUUCAAUCUAAUUGAUCACAAUAAUCCUCCAACUUUAGAAGAAAUGACAAACAUCUGGUUAUUAUCACCAUGGCAAGAAGAACUUCCACCCAACACUGUCUUCGAUGAAAUUUCUGCUUUAGAAGAAGUUUAUGUUCAUCUGCAGGGCGAUUCAUCCCUUGAUAAGUGGACGUACUUUUUCAAGAAAGAGCCAGCUCCGAGUUUACUGAAACUGUUCCAGUAUUGUGCAUCAAUUCCGGUAUCAAAUGCAAACGUUGAAUGAAUUUUCAGCGUCAUGGGCAAUUUGUGGACUGACGAACGUAACCGACUGCUUGUACCAUCAGUUCGAAGUGAACUUUGUAUAUUUUUUAAUAUUUCUCAACUUUGUACUGAAAUUAAAGAAUUAUUUCUUAAACACAAAGAAUUGAUCAAAGCUGCGCAGUCAAAUAAAAAAUACACACGACAGCAAAGUAAAAUGUAAUUUAAUAUUUUAUAUAUUAUAAUAUAUUUGAUGUUUUGAAUUUUAAGUAAAAUUUUGAAGUGAUUAUUUUAAUACGUGUUAAAAUGUUUGUAAGAAAAUAUAUAAUUUAAUUUUAAAUUUUUUUUUUAUUUUUUUACUACUUAACCCCCCCCCCCCCCCCCGCUUGUCCACUAUUUUUUGGAAAGACCUGGCAACCCUACUCUGAUAACAGUAUUUCUCAUAAACGUUACUAUUUAGAUCCUAACCAUUUAACUGUAUUUAAUUUUAAAUGCUAUUAUAAUUAGAUCUUGAAUAUCCUCAAGAUCAUGGAUCUUCUGGUUUAAUGUUAUCGUUUGCUUGGAUUGUUGCAAUAUUAAUAUACAUUACAUUGCAUGAUUAAGAUGUUUUGUUCAAUGAGAUUGCUGCUCAAAAUGAUGUAGAAAGAUGGCUCAGAAAUUUUGACUAGACAAUGGUAAAUGUAUCUUCUUUCAUUUGCAUUAAAAACAAUUUUGUCAUGGCUGAAAUAAAACAAAUCUAACAUA